AUCUUGAGAGCGGCGUACGGGUGCGGAACACGUGUGCAACCUGCCUUUAUCUGGGGGAUAGCCUUUCGAAAGGAAGAUUAAUACCCCAUAAUAUGUUGGAUGGCAUCAUUCGACAUUGAAAACUCCGGUGGAUAGAGAUGGGCACGCGCAAGAUUAGAUAGUUGGUGAGGUAACGGCUCACCAAGUCUGCGAUCUUUAGGGGGCCUGAGAGGGUGAUCCCCCACACUGGUACUGAGACACGGACCAG
This 247-nucleotide ribosomal RNA is filed under the name uncultured bacterium. RNAcentral describes it as "partial 16S ribosomal RNA". It matches the Rfam family "Bacterial small subunit ribosomal RNA", at positions 86 to 334 of the family's 1533-position model. The record is from RNAcentral.